RNAcentral lists this ribosomal RNA (292 nucleotides) under uncultured bacterium. RNAcentral describes it as "partial 16S ribosomal RNA". The record is from RNAcentral.
GGACUACCCGGGUAUCUAAUCCCGUUUGCUCCCCACGCUUUCGCGCCUCAGCGUCAGGAAAUGCCCAGAGACCCGCCUUCGCCACCGGUGUUCCUCCCGAUCUCUACACAUUUCACCGCUACACCGGGAAUUCCAGUCUCCUCUGCAUCCCUCAAGAACGGCAGUAUCAGCCGACGUUUCUCGGUUGAGCCGAGAGAUUUCACGACUGACUUGCCAUCCCGCCUACGCGCCCUUUACGCCCAGUGAUUCCGAGCAACGCUUGCCCCCUCUGUCUUACCGCGGCUGCUGGCAC